Long non-coding RNA from Lacerta agilis (Sand lizard), 709 nucleotides. RefSeq lists it as uncharacterized. NCBI's taxonomy places the organism in Eukaryota, Metazoa, Chordata, Lepidosauria, Squamata, Lacertidae. The record is from RefSeq and is a predicted model, not a curated record. The transcript has 3 exons.
CUUGCUGCAGUGAAUGUUAAUCUUCUAUCACUGGCUGGACUCACUAUAUAACAAUACUUAUUGUACCUGGCUUGGAUAGGAGCUACAAUCAAAGGGAGAUCACACACUUGCCACAAUUCCUACCUAUACUCUGUGACCCAAUAUGUUACUGUGCCAUAUGAAUGCUAUUGUAGGUGUGGCUCCAUAUUUCAUGUUUGAUUACAAAUGACCACAACUUCCAAGCAGCCGGCUCUUUAAACCUUCUGUCUUUUUCACGGUGCUUGGUCUCUUCAUACAGAUGGCACACUUAUCACAGUUUUUUGAAACCGUCAUGUAAAGAGAGGUGUCUCAGUACAGCUGGAAAUUAGGCUACGGAAAAGUGCACCAGAUAGGAUUUCUGGUGCUUCUCCAGAGAGGUGACUGAAUUAAAGGCAAUUCAGGCUUACCGGGAAUCUUUGCCUAAGGACGACUUUGGAAAACACAACCACAUGCAAAAUAUCUUCCCAUACGGAGAAACAGAACAGGACACAGGAAACCGAUUAUCCAGUCCUCCUGGCCACAUUCACAAGUCUGACGAAGACUGCACUUGAAAAUCUUUGGAAUAGACACCAAAAAAUGCCAGGAAAUAUAUUAGGAGCUCUUUCAGAAAGAAUUGAUAAGGAUGACAAAGCUAACUAGUCCAUAUAAAACAAACCAUAGUUCUGUAAUAGGAAAAUUUAAUAAUUAAUUA